RNAcentral lists this long non-coding RNA (8814 nucleotides) under Ananas comosus (pineapple). RNAcentral describes it as "long non-coding RNA (ACOM_LNC042479)". Lineage: Eukaryota; Viridiplantae; Streptophyta; Magnoliopsida; Poales; Bromeliaceae. The record is from RNAcentral.
GGAAAUAACCAUUGUACCUUAGGUACCGUUUGAUUCGGGUAUAAAUAAAAACUAGCUAUUACAGGAAUAGCUUCAAGUAUGGGAAUAAGAAAAAAGUGUUUGGAUGAAAAUUGGAUUAUUUUCGGGGAUAAGAAAAAUAGCGUUUGGAUAGAUAAUAUGGAAUAAGAAAAAUAUUAGGUAGCUUUAUAUAAAAAAUGGAGGUGUUGGUGAGAAUAGUUAUAAUCGGUUAUUAUAGGUAAACGAGAACUACUAUUCUCGGAUAAAAAAUUAGUGUUUGGCAAUAAAAGUUUCAGUUUUUUUUGAAUUCAGAACCUUUUAAUCUGAUAUCAUAUAAAAUAACUAUUAUACGCAAAAAAGCUUAACCAGUUAAAGAAUAAUAUAUAUUUAUAUUUAACAUAACCAACCAAAAAGAUAAACAUGGGGCAGUGAAAUGUCAAUUUCCAAGAAAACAAAAGAAUGCAAAGUAGCUUUUCCCAAAAGGCAAAACCUUUUCCAAAGUGGAAUAAAUAAUUGCACCAUAUACAUACAACAUAUAUGUUCAUAAUUAAUUGUACCAUAUUCCUAUCAUCUCCCCACUUGACCUUUUCCACAACUUUGACAGAUUCCAACUUAACAGCAACCUAACAAAAACAAUUUAUAAUUCAUUUCCAACAACAACACCACACCACACCAACCUCACCUCUCAACCCACUAAUAGGAUGUUCAAUUGGUUUUUCAAAAAUAGCAUAAAAAACUAUUUUUUUAAUAAAAUAUUUUUCUAAUUUUUUUUUUUUUACGAUUUUAUCUUUUGGAAUAAAAAUUUUAAAAAAUAAAAAUACUGUUCUUCCUAAAAUAUAAAAAAUAAAAUUUUCUUUUUAGAAAUUAGAUUAAGGAAAAAUAUUUUUUCAGCUAUAAACUAUUUUCUAAAAUAUUUUUUGAAAAACCAAACAUCACUAAAGUAGUAAUAAAAUGGAAGGUUUAAUUAUAAACUAUUGCAUUGUAUUUUAGUAUUAUUUUUAUUUAUCAUAUUAUAUAAGUUUUUUCGAAAAUAUUAUUGUAUUAUUAUAUAUUAUCAAACACUACACCAUAUUUAGAUUUAUUCAUUUUUCCCUAUUGUACUUUAUAGUUAGGACUGAGCAAAUUUUUUUCUCGUUAAUUUUUACAUUAUUGUUAACAAAUUUAUUAUUUUAGAUAUAAUCUAACAAUUUUAUUAAAAUGCACUAGUUAAAUAGUAGGCAAAAUGUAAAAUAAAUCUUGGUAAUAAACUCAUAAAAAAUUUUAAUCAAUUUAUUUUAACUAUUGUUUAAUUAUUUUAUAUAUUUUUUUAAUUUUUAUGUCAAGACGAAAUGUCACUUUCAACUAGUAAUUUUAAACAAUUUUUAUUUGAAAUUGUAGAUAUAUAUAUUUAGGAAAAAGAUAACUCUACGCACCAUUUUGGGGUGUAUGAUUUUACACUCAUCUAUCUAAUUUAAUGGAUGGAUGUAAAUUAUACUCCAAAAAUAAAAUGUAUGAAUAGCAUUAAUUGCUCAUAUAUUUAUAUUAUAGAAAUUGAGAAGACGAAAUAGUUGAGUAGUGUCGCUGAAAAAAAAAAAAUAAAAACAAAAAACCAAUAUCAUAAGAAAUAAUUAAGAACAUAUUUGAAUGCAUAAUUAUACUUUAUAUUUAUUUAAAACUUUUAUAACAUUUAAUAUAAUGGAUGAAGUAGACAAGUAGUAAUAAAACAUAUUAAUCCUAACAACACCACUCACAAGAAAUAGUCAAAAACCUUUUUAAAUGCAUAAAUAUGUUCUAUGUAUUUACUUAAAACCUAUAUAAUAUUUAACAUGAGAAGAGUAUACUUAAGUAGCAAAAAGUAUAUAUUAUGUUACUUCAAAAUUUAUAUUUUUAAAAUAAGAUAAGUUAUAUUACCAAAUUAAUAUUUCUCAAACAAAGCUCAAAACUACCUCACAAAAAAAAUACAUACAUAGUAUAUACUAUAUAAUAAUAUAUAUAUAUAAUAUUAUUAAUAUAUGACUUUACAUAUUAAAUCAUUCCAACAUAGAGAAAUGACAGCAAAUCUAAAUCAAUAUACCUCCUCUCAGAUUAAUAAAUUACAUAAAAUGCAUAAAAAAAAAAGAGGAGCAAAAAUUGCGGCCAACAUGAUUUAUAAAGUUGCAAAAUAUUCCAUUAUAAAUAAAGAAGUAUGAUACCAUGCCAGUUACUCAAAAACUGACCAACUAUGAUUACUUCUUAUACAAAUUCGUGGCCACAUUUGCGGACACAAAAGAGAAAAAUAAAACUCAAUUAGAUUACCAAAAAAAACAAAAAAAAAAAAGCUCAUCUCUCUCUCUCUCACUGUAUUCAUUUUUGUUAAAGAAAAACUUUUUACAAAAAAUAGAAGACAUAAAAAAAAAAUAAUUUAAAAUUCGUUAGAGCGACAAGAGAAUUCUCUCUUCUUUAAUUUCCCUGCUUCUCUAAAUCUCAAAUUGGAGUCAAAAUUCCAUUUAAUUCCCUUGCAGUAAAUCUGUAAUCAAAUUAAGUUGUUUAACCCGGGUUGGUUUUUUUCCUUGUUUUGGUGAGGGAAGUGGUUUAUUGUGGGUAUUGUUGAUGGUUUGGAUAUAUUCGUAUCGUAUAUGUUAUAUUAAUAUUAAUAUUAUUAUUAUUGAGGGCCGUUAUGUUUUGUUUUCUGUGUUUCAAAUAACAAUAUUUUAUUAUUUAUUAUCCGCGACCGCGGGGUGAUGCCGCCGCAUGAGCGGCGCCCCGAAGUCGAAGCCCUCGACGCGGACGGCGGCGGGAGGCGGGCCGACUUGGCGCGCGACGCAGCCUUCUCCGGAGGGCGACGGCGGCGAACCGGGUAAGGCCCGGCCCGGCAUGCGGCCGUCUCGCCGAACGGGCCGUCGGGACCAGCGGUUCUGUGGCACCGGGUCGGGGGUCGAACGCGGAUAAGAACGGCGGAGAUUAUGCCACGUUGCUCUGAUCUACCUCCCUACAUCAAAGAUGUAUCUAUUGUUAAUAACGAAUGAGAAUUAUCCUUAUUCCAUUAAUUAUUUUUAAUGCCUCCUUUAGCUCUUUAACAUACCUGUAAUUGUAUUUUAUUUCAUUUUUAUUUUUUUCAUUCUAAGUCUUUUUUAUUAAUCUUUUUUUCAGUGAACAAAACUAACAAGUUAACAAAUUACUUACAAAACAGUAUUCCGACUACUAAACCGUUCAAUAAUACCGAUAUCAUAAAUUUCUUUUAUUUACUUAUACUAUCUAUAACAAAUAUUCAUAAACAACAUUUUAAUUCAAUCUAAUAUUAUAAAACUCUUCUCCUCCUGUUCUUCUUCCUUUUUCCGUUUUCGGUCUUCUAUCUCUGUUUCUUUCUUCGUCCGCCGGUAAAAAAAAAAUCACAGAAUACUAAAUUAAUACACUUAAAAUUACAAAAUACUAAAGUGCGUGGUUUUUAAAAUUUACCCCUUAUAUUUAAGGAAAAAGGCAUAAGAACCCAACUUAAGCCACAAAAAAAAAAUCAUUUAAAUGAAAAUAAUAAUAACAAAAAUAAGAGAGGAGAUGUUUUUCUAAGGAAUAUAAAAUUACAACAAGAACAUAAUAACUUUUUGAAUAAAAUUUUGAACUUAGUUUCUUUUUUUUUCUCUUUUAUGGGUACGUACAUCAAAAAAGUCAAAAGGAAAAAAAAUAAAUUUUAAAAAAAAAAUCUCACCUUGGUUAGAAACAAGUCAAGUAGCUCGGCACCUGCUUUGGGUUCACUCAGAUCCGCUUGAUGGCUAAAAAUUAGAAAAAAUAAAUAAAUUAAAAAAAAGAAAAAAGAAAAUUAUGAUUUGGAAAGAGAAAAAAAUAGAAAUUAAUUUAAGAAGGGAGAAAAAAAAAAGGGGGUGGAAAAUGAAGAGGAUAAAGUUGGGGGGUUGGAGAGGGGAAAUUACCUAACGUGCCAGCGGAGGGGUCGGACCGGGUCGACGGGGGAGAGCGGUCCGAGCCGGCGCGGUUUGGGGCAAAAAACCGGGCUGCGCCGGUCCGGUCCGGCCGGUGGGGCCCGCACCUCCUCACACGUGGCGAACGCGCUCUGCUGCAUCGCGUGGUAGUAGUGAUUCAUCUCCUCCACUAAAUAAAUAAUAAUACAAACACCUACACAAAAUUAUAAAAAAAAAAAAAAAAUUAUUAGAACGUGUAACAGAUCUGGGAGAAAUUUUAGUUUUUAUUUUUUAGAGAAAAAAACCACAAUAAAUUUGAGUUUAUUUAAUCAGAAAAACCAAGUGAAAGAUGAAUCACAAAAUAAAAAAAAAUAAAAAAAUUUCCUCUCUCACCUUAGCUAAAUAUAUGUAUUUACUUUAAUAUUUCUCCCAAAAAAAAAACAAUUUAUAUCUUUGAUGAAGCCUUAAAAAUCCGGUUUUUAAUUAAAAGCUACAAAAAAAAUCCUAUUUUUACUUGUUUUGGAGAACCGAAAAAUACACUAAAAGUUAAAGAUAUAUCACACCAAAGCACAAAAAGAAAAGGGAGAAAAAAAGAAAAAAAAGGUGUAUAAUAAUUCAGAAGGAAAAAUAAAGCUCUCACCUUUAGCCACCUCUCUCUCUGUAAAUCUCUCUCUACUCUACCUCUCUCUCUCUCUGUAAAUCUCUCUCUAUCUCUCUCUCUCUCUCUCUCUCUCUAAAGAGAUGGGAAUUGAGAGGAUUAUUAUUAAAACAAAUAGAAAUAAAAGGAAAAAGAAAAAAGAGAGGGAGAGAGAUAGAGAGAGAGAGACGUAGAGGAGAGGAAGGAGAUGGGGUGAGGAGGUGAGAGGGGAUUUAUAGAGGAGUGGUGUGUGGUGAGGAUAUGGGGUAUGAAGUAAUGAACACCCUGUAAUUAUUAUUUUAUUUAUUUAUUUAUUUAUUUGUUUCCAAUUUUAUUAUUAUUAUUAUUAUUAUUAUUAUUAGGGAAAACUUCGAAAAUUCUUCUGUGGUUUCAUACUUUUUCAUUUUCGUAUCAUAUGGUUUAAAAUUUAUCAAGUUAGUACCCUGUGGUUCCUCACUUUAUCACUUUAGUACCCUAUGAUUUAAAGUGUAUCAAGUUAGUACCCUGUGGUUUUGCGCUUUAUCACUUUAGUACGCUGUGAUUUAAAAAACCACUGGGUACUAAGUUGAUACAAAAUUAAAACCACAGGUACUAAAGUGAUAAAGUAUAAAACCACAGAAUACUAACUUAAUACAUUUUAAACUACAUAGUACUAAAGUGAUAAAGUAAGAAACCAUAAGAUACUAACUUAAUACAUUUUAAACCACAAGGCANUACUAAAACGAUAAAGUGCAAAAGCACAGGGUACUAACUUGAUACACUUUAAACCACAGGGUACUAAAGUGAUAAAGUGAGAAACCACAUGGUACAAACUUGAUACAUUUUAAAUCACAGGGUACUAAAGUGAAAAAAAUUAAAACCACAAAGGAGAUUUUUAAAGUUUUCUCUUAUUAUUAUUAUUAUUAUUAAAAUAAAUAUUUUUAAAAAGUUUUAGGAAAAAAAGGAAAAUAAAAUAAAAGUAGUUGGAAUUGUUUAUUCCUUCACGUUUGUAGGCACCCCCGAGUGACAGAGGGACAGAAAGUAGAAAAAAAUUUUAGAUGUGGCUCUCAAAUUAUACAUUACAAAUAUUAAUGGCUAAAUUGCAGAUAUUUUUUAAAUGCGUUGCUAUAUGUUAGAUCGCUGUAUGUAGGGCUGUCUUAAUGUUUAGCACUCACUCUUCCAGCGAUCUGUGGCAGAGGGACACGUGGCGAUCGUAGCCCUAUACGGUCCCUGCGAGAUUCUCGCGACGGAGCUUCAAUCGCUGGAACCCUACCUCGUCGGCUGCGACAGCGGAGGAGAAGGAAAGAUGGUGAUAAAUUUNACUAACUUAAUACAUUUUAAACUACAUAGUACUAAAGUGAUAAAGUAAGAAACCAUAAGAUACUAACUUAAUACAUUUUAAACCACAAGGCACAAAAGUGAAAAGAAUUAAAACCACCAUAGGGAUUUUUGAAAUUUUUUCUUAUUAUUAUUAUUAUUAAAAUAAACGUUUUUAAAAAGUUUUAGGAAAAAAAAGAAAAGAAAGAAAAGUAGUUGGAAUUGUUUAUUCCUUCACGUUUGUAGGCACCCCCGAGUGACAGAGGGAGAGAAAGUAGAAAAAAAUUUUAGAUGUGGCUCUCAAAUUAUACAUUACAAAUAUUAAUGGCUAAAUUGUCGAUAUUUUUUAAAUGCGUUGCUAUAUGUUAGAUCGCUGUAUGUAGGGCUGCCUUAAUAUUUAGCACUCACUCUUCCAGCGAUCUGUGGCAGAGGGACACGUGGCGAUCGUAGCCCUGUACGGUCCCUGCGAGAUUCUCGCGACGGAGCUUCAAUCGCCGGAACCCUACUUCGUCGGCUGCGGCAGCGGAGGAGAAGGAAAGAUGGUGAUAAAUUUUUUAUUUUUUAUUUUUCUUUUCUAUUUGUAAUCGAGCUGAGUGGGUUAAGUAGGAUUGGUUGAGUAGAGAAAUUUUUAUUUUUGAUUGGAUUGUGCUUUAUAUUUAGACUUUAAUAAAAUUUUUUAAAAACUUUAAUAUAAAUGAAAUAGUUAUAUAAAAAUGUCUAAAAAUAUGUCUCUAUAAUCGAAUUAUGUUGUAUUAUUAAUUUAGUUAAUUUUAAAAAUUAGGCCAUUUAUAAUGAUAUUUAAAUUUAACGUUUGACUUAAUAUAUUUAAAGUUGACCACUGUAAUUAAUUGUAACUUUAUGAGAAAGCUUAGCCGUUGUUCCAGUUGAAAAUUUCAACGUUAAAUUAAAAAUAAAUUUACCUCCCAAGAAACACUUUAAUCCAAAAUAUAUUCCUUUUCCUACCUCCACUACUCAAUAGAUAAAUGAUAAAGUUUUAUAAAUUCACUUUUUAAUCACAUAUAGUUAAGGAAAAAUUAUUUAUACUUAUAAUAACUUUUAUUAUAUUCAAUUAAAAAAAGAUGUAUAUAAUUAUAAUUGCUAUAUAAUAUUUUUUAAUUUCGCACUUUUUCAUUUUAUUUUUUUCUUUUUGUUAUUUUCUUCGCUAAUUUUUUUGUUAAAUCAGUGACAAAGUUAAAACUAAAAAAUAUUAAAAGUGAAAUUCGAUAAACUAAAGGUGAAGGUAUCUGCAAAUUUUUAUAUAUGAUUUGUAACGAAAGUUAACGAAAAACUAAUGAAUAAAAAAAAGAAACAUACGUCUAAUUAAAUAUGACUUUAAAUUAUAUGAAUUAAAUAUAAAAAAUAUACGAAAUACACAGUGGUAUAAUGAAAGUUUAACUAUAUAAUUACUAUUGCCAUUGUAACAAACACAUCGCAGUCAAAUUAAAGUGAAAUUGUUACGUUGCAACAAUAUUCAAAUAUAUAUGUAUUAUUUUGAGGGCCUAAAUGUGAGAAAAAAUUAUACUUAAAUAAAAAAUAAAACUUAAAAAUAUAUUUAUUUAUAAAUUAGAAAGGGAUAAAUAUAUCCAACGGAAAGAGGGGCGGAGAAAGGGAAGCGUGUUUGACGAGUCCACCACCUUUUUUUUUAUUUAUUUAUUUUUUUUUUGUGGUCGUCCGUUUCUUUAGAUUUUCUUUUUUAUUUUUAUUUAUCUUUUUAUAAUUAUUACUUAAUAUUUAAAAAUAUAUUUUUUAAAUUAAUUAAUUAAUUAAUUAAUUUAUAUUUAUAUCAUGUUCGACCUACUCAAAUGCCGCGAAGUACGGACGCAUGCUAUUGGUUGUGGUAGUUGAUGCUUCGUGAGAGAUUUUUUUUAUUGCCCCCAAAGAUAUUUUUGCGUCUUAGUCCCUGCAAUAUUCCUGUAUUAUGCUUUAACUUUUUACAUUUUUCUUCUGAAAAAAUUUCAAAUACCACUCUUGAUGGUUUCGUCUUUAUUUUUUCGUAAUUUUUUUUAGCUAAAUUAUAAAAAAUCAUCCUAUCAAAAUCCGAUUUUUCACUUUUUCUUCCUGUCAUUUAAAAAUCUACAUUUUGCCCCCCUAAAAAAUAGUGUUAAUAAUAUUGAUAAAAUAACCAAAAUACCCUCUCAUUCUUCCUCUCCUCCUCCAACCCUUCUUUAUCUGUAGAAGGGUAUUUUUGAUAUAAAAAAAUAUAUAAUAAUGGAAUAUAGACGGAAUCGUAACGGAACACUAACGGCGGGGUCCAAAGUAAAUAUUUUUUAUUUUUUAGGGGGGCAAAGUGUAGGUUUUUAAAUGACAGGAAGGGAAAGUGAAAAAUCGAAUUUUGAUAGAGAGGUUUUCUGUAAUUUAGUCUUUUUUUUAUUAUCCUCUUCAUUAAUUUUUUUAUUCAAUCAGUAACAAAAUUAAAUCUAAAAUAUAUUAAAAUUAAUAUUCGAUAAAACUAUGUGGGGUAUCUGAAGUUUUUUGUAUAUAAUUUAACGAAAUAUUAACAGAAGAGCCGGCGAAAAAAAGAAAAUGAAACCAUAGGGUACUAAAUUGUUAUACUUUAAAUUACAGAGUAGUAAAAUAAGGAAAUGAAAAACUACAGGUAUGGUUUUUAAAGUUUACUCUAAGUUAAUGUUUUUGGUGGCCAUAUUCAAACUCAAAUUCAAAAAUAUAUAUAGUCUCAAUAAUAAUUUAUUAUCUAAUAUAUUUUUCAAAAAUAUAAAAUUAGUACCUAGAGUAAUUUUGGCCUAUACCGUUUGGUUCGGGUAUAAGCAAGAACUAGUUAUUACAGGGAUAAGUACAAGUAUGAGGAUAAGAAAAAUAGUGUUUGGAUGAAAAUUGGGUUGUUCCCGGUGAUAAGAACAAUUUUAGGUAGUUUUAUAUAGAAAAUGGAGGUGUUGGUGGGGAUAACCGAGAACUACUAUUCUCGGGUAAAAAAUUAUCGUUUGGGUAUAAAGGGGGAUAAAGGCCUAUUCCUAUCCCUAUCCCCUAACCAAACGCUGAAAGUUGGUUCGCUGUACG